Molecule: unclassified non-coding RNA, 215 nt
Filed under: Hevea brasiliensis (rubber tree)
Lineage: Eukaryota; Viridiplantae; Streptophyta; Magnoliopsida; Malpighiales; Euphorbiaceae
Source: RNAcentral
GGAAGAUGGAGAUUACUUUCUAUGAAUUUAAGGUGCAAGUAAAUUUCUGGUGUAUCAAUGGAACUCCCAUUCUCACAAUCUCCUGGCAGCCCAGCCUCAUAAGAAGGGAAGUUUGUUAUUAACUGAAUAUAGAUUUCGAAGCCCAAUCGUAUGCCUCUUUCGACUGUUUUAGAGAAAGUGGGAUGCAUUAAAGGGAGUAAUAAUAAUAGAUUGGC